AACGAACGCUGGCGGCGCGCCUAACACAUGCAAGUCGAACGAGAAGGCGUAGCAAUACGCUUGUAGAGUGGCGAACGGGUGAGUAAUACGUGGGUGACCUACCCUCGAGUGGGGAAUAACCCGCCGAAAGGCGGGCUAAUGCCGCGUACGCUUCCGUCCUCACGGGGACGGAAGGAAAGCUGUACCGUGGGUACGGCGCUCAAGGAUCCCGGGNUCACGUCCUAUCAGCUUGUUGGUAGGGUAACGGCCUACCAAGGCUACGACGGGUAGCUGGUCUGAGAGGACGAUCAGCCACACUGGCACUGCGACACGGGCCAGACUCCUACGGGAGGCAGCAGUGAGGAAUAUUGCGCAAUGGGCGAAAGCCUGACGCAGCGACGCCGCGUGGGG
RNAcentral lists this ribosomal RNA (390 nucleotides) under uncultured bacterium. RNAcentral describes it as "bacterial SSU rRNA". It matches the Rfam family "Bacterial small subunit ribosomal RNA", at positions 29 to 406 of the family's 1533-position model. The record is from RNAcentral.